This 251-nucleotide unclassified non-coding RNA is filed under the name uncultured Pseudotomentella. RNAcentral's name for it is "sequence contains ITS2". Lineage: Eukaryota; Fungi; Basidiomycota; Agaricomycetes; Thelephorales; Thelephoraceae. The record is from RNAcentral.
AAUUCUCAACUGCCUUUUAGCAUUUAUGCUAAGGUGAAGUUGGAGUUGGAGGAUAAUUGCUGGCGCAGCUUAGGUUGCUUGUUGGCUCCUCUUGAAUGGAUGAGCUUUUCUGAUAGAUUAUGGCUCAGUAACACUAAUGUGAUAAUUAUCUACGUUAGAUGUGAAAGCUGUGAGUAGAGUGACUUCAAUUAUGGAGAAGCUCCUACAGAAAAGGUAUGUCUUGGGGAACAAGACUUGAAAUAUAAUGACAA